RNAcentral lists this transfer RNA (77 nucleotides) under Parvularculaceae bacterium. RNAcentral describes it as "tRNA-Pro". It matches the Rfam family "tRNA". Rfam says of the family: Transfer RNA (tRNA) molecules are approximately 80 nucleotides in length. Their secondary structure includes four short double-helical elements and three loops (D, anti-codon, and T loops). The record is from RNAcentral. Lineage: Bacteria; Pseudomonadati; Pseudomonadota; Alphaproteobacteria; Parvularculales; Parvularculaceae.
CGGAGCGUGGCGCAGUCUGGUAGCGCAUCUGCUUUGGGAGCAGAGGGCCGCAGGUUCGAAUCCUGCCGCUCCGACCA